GAUAUGGCUCAGAACGAACGCUGGCGGCGCGUCUUAAGCAUGCAAGUCGAACGGCAAGAGGUAGCAAUACCUCCUAGAGUGGCGGACUGGUGAGUAACACGUGGGUGACAUACCCUUCAGAUGGGGAUAGCUAUUAGAAAUAGUAGAUAAUACCGAAUACGAGCACAGGGGUUAGAGAUCUGUGAGGAAAGGAGCUAAGGCUCCGCUGAAGGAAUGGCCUGCGGCCCAUUAGCUAGUUGGUGAGGUAAGAGCCCACCAAGGCGAUGAUGGGUAUCCGGCCUUAGAGGGUGAACGGACACAUUGGGACUGAGAUACGGCCCAGACUCCUACGGGAGGCAGCAGCUAAGAAUAUUCCGCAAUGGACGAAAGUCUGACGGAGCGACGCCGCGUGGAUGAAGAAGGCCGGAAGGUUGUAAAAUCCUUUUGAAACUGAAGAAUAAGCGUUGUAGGGAAUGACAGCGUGGUGACAGUAGGUUUUGAAUAAGCAACGGCUAAUUACGUGCCAGCAGCUGC
RNAcentral lists this ribosomal RNA (513 nucleotides) under uncultured bacterium. Its description in RNAcentral is "bacterial SSU rRNA". It matches the Rfam family "Bacterial small subunit ribosomal RNA", at positions 15 to 518 of the family's 1533-position model. The record is from RNAcentral.